Molecule: ribosomal RNA, 443 nt
Filed under: uncultured bacterium
Lineage: Bacteria
Description: partial 16S ribosomal RNA
Rfam family: Bacterial small subunit ribosomal RNA
Source: RNAcentral
CCUACGGGUGGCAGCAGUGGGGAAUAUUGGGCAAUGGAGGCAACUCUGACCCAGCAACGCCGCGUGAAUGAUGAAGGUCUUCGGAUUGUAAAGUUCUUUUCUAAGGGAAGAAGAAAGUGACGGUACUCUGUGAGGAAGCCACGGCUAACUACGUGCCAGCAGCCGCGGUAAUACGUAGGUGGCGAGCGUUAUCCGGAAUCAUUGGGCGUAAAGAGGGAGCAGGCGGCCUGGAGGGUCUAUUGUUAAAAGGCAAUGGCUUAACCAUUGUAAGGCGAAGAAACCGGCAGGCUAGAGUUCUAAAGAGGAUCGUGGAAUUCCAUGUGUAGCGGUGAAAUGCGUAGAUAUAUGGAGGAACACCAGUGGCGAAGGCGACGAUCUGGGAAGAAACAGACGCUGAGUCCCGAAAGCGUGGGGAGCAAAUAGGAUUAGAUACCCUGGUAGUC